This 127-nucleotide microRNA precursor is filed under the name Myotis davidii. RNAcentral describes it as "mir-9193 microRNA precursor family". It matches the Rfam family "mir-9193 microRNA precursor family". The record is from Rfam by way of RNAcentral. Lineage: Eukaryota; Metazoa; Chordata; Mammalia; Chiroptera; Vespertilionidae.
CAUGCACCAGUGGGGUCCCUCAGCCUGGCCUGUGCACUGUCACAAUCUGGGACCCCUCAAGGGAUAUUGGAUUGCCAGUUUUGGCUCAGUCCCCUCAGGCCAGGCUGAGGGACCCCACUGGUGCAUG